This is a long non-coding RNA of Brassica napus (rape), 7013 nucleotides long. RefSeq lists it as uncharacterized. NCBI's taxonomy places the organism in Eukaryota, Viridiplantae, Streptophyta, Magnoliopsida, Brassicales, Brassicaceae. The transcript has 10 exons. The record is from RefSeq and is a predicted model, not a curated record.
UUUAUUCUUUUCUUUUCCUCUCUGGCUCCCUCUCUCUGUCGAGAUAUUCAUUCUCUCAUUUUCUUUCAGUCUCAUCUAUUCCAUCUCUAUACGCUUGAAAUCUCACCAACUCUCUCAUGUCUCACUUUUCAGAUAUGGUCAACUGAGAAAGAAUGGAGAUGAUAAUGUAGACGACAAAGACAGAGACUCGCUGGGACGAUGCGCCGAGGCUCACCGGAAAAGGAGACGCGCCGAGGCUCACCGGAUAAGGAGAUGCGCCGGAGUAGAUGAGGCAGAGAAGAUGAUGUUUGGUGGUGGUGCAUAGGUCCGAGUAAGAGAUAGAAGAAGAAGAGGGGAAGAUGACGAGUUUGGUCGCCUCGGCGGUAGAUCUGGAAGAAGAUGGAUGAGACGGGGCUUCAGGGAGAUGACCACAAUGGUGGCGUGGAGAAGGUCCGAGCUCCGGUGUACUGGAAGAUGACGACCAGCUCGGAGCUCUCGUGAUGGACUCUCGGUGGAGGGAGGCGGCGGCAGUGACAUUAGUUAGGUUUAGGGUUAGAUUAGAUUUUUAUAAUUAUAUUUUAUUGUUAACUAGAUAGGGUUAACCGGAUAAGGAGACGCGCCGGAGGUAGAGGCCUUGAUUUGGGCAAUGGAAUGCAUGAAGAAUUUAAGACAGUUUCAGGUUACUUUUGCAACGGAUUGUUCUCAAUUGGUGAAGAUGGUUUCCGAACCAGAAGAAUGGCCAGCAUUUGAAAGCUAUUUGGAAGAUAUCAAGCUCCUCAAAGGAAGCUUCCUCAACUCAGACAUCGUCCAUGUACCUCGGAUGACGAAUCUUCGGGCAGAUAGCUUAGCACGUAGUGCAAGAAAGCAAUUGUCCUUUGUCGUUCACAUGGAUGCGGAGUUACCAAUAUGGUUUACAGAGUCAAUAUGAGUCUGUAAAUUUCUUGCUGUCAAAAAAAAAAAAAGUUUUGUAAACCUGUUUAAUUGUAAACCGGUUAAUUGUAAACCGGUUAAUUGUAAACCGGUUAAUUGUAAACCGAUUAAAUUUAUAAAACAGAUUUCUAUUUGGUUAAUUCAUUUUAUUUUGUGAACCGAAUUAAACCAAUAAACCAUUAUUAAUUAAUAUAUCAAUUCUAAUUAAAAACUAAAUUAUUUUAAAAAUAUAUAAAUUAUAUAAAUAUAAUUAAUAUACGCUAUCAUACUGUUCUAAUAUAACAACAUUUAUACAACUGCUAUAAUAGAGUGGACACCUAAGAUAGCUGGGGCAGACAUAGCGGUUUCAAUAAUGCUAACAUUAGCAUAUGAUAGUUGUAUUCUUACGCUAAGAAUGAACAUUUUUCUUGUAGUGACUGUCUCUCUGAUAUGACUUGAAUAUGAUCGAGUAGCUUCUGAAUGACUAUGUAGGCUCUUGUGUGAAUGUAGCAAUCUUACUCUUCAAGUCUUCAACAAGUGCCUCAUCAAAGAAGUGGCAUAGAAAUGCAUUCUUGAUAUCGGCCCUGGAUGUGAGAGAUCCUGGCUGUAGAUGCUUAAGCCAGUACGAAGCCUCUCCAGCAAGUGAGUACUUGAAGAGCUUGCAAAAUAGGUAGUCCUCAGGGAUUCCAUUGGCUUUAAUAGCAGAAACUAGAUCGUUGAACCUUUCUAGAUGGUCCAUAGGAUGCUCGUGUGAUAACCCACAGUAUGGUGUCUGUCCCAUGAGUGUGAAGUACUUAAGCUUCAACUCAAAGUCUUGCCUCUGUAUGGAUGGAGGACGGAUAGCAGAUCUGUUCUCGUAGUACUAAUUUGACCUGUUGUAAUCAGAUAAUGUCCUCAGUCUAGCAGCCUCGUCUACAGCUUGAGCAGCUGCAAUAUCAGCAUCGGUAUCAGGGAUUACAACCCCUUGAUCAUCUAUCUUCUGACCUGAUGCAUUACGCAGAUGAUCCUCCUGGUCAUGCAGGUUUCCAGUCGCGUCAUGAAUUAAAACUAGUGUCACAACCAUGUCUCGCGGCUCAGUAUCGAUCGAUGUCCGAGUGGAAUGUCGAUCGAUGUCUGGUGGGUAUGGGGGGGGGGUCGAUGGAAGAAUGGUCUCGGUCGACGGUGGAAGGCGAGUGUCGUUCGACGAGCAGGUGUUGUUAUCGACCAAUGUGUUACAUUUUUCUUUGCGGAUGGUGCGUUCUAGAAGUGCAGGAUCUGAAAAGAGAAGUGCAUGUUACUUGUUGCUUCUAGUACUGAUAGGCAUGCACCUGAAAAGACAAGAAUGUUUUUUUAUCAAUUUUUGCAAGAAACAGUUACUUAGACUAAAUGUAGCUAAAUUUGAUCUAAUGGAGAUCGAAGCUCCCCGGCAACGGCGCCAAAUUUUAUAUCACUCAAAUUACCCUAUAGUGAUUUACUCUCUCAAAGUAAGAUGUUCAAUUGUAAUACUUAGGUAUCGAAUUCACAUGGAGCUAAUGCACACAUUAGAUCUAUCUAGUUGUGUAGUUAAGCUAGUCAAGUAGGUUUUAAAGCAGUAAAUAACAAGGGUGAACAAGUAAUUGUUCAAUUGAUUGAUUUGGGUUUUAAGACAGAUAUGGGAAACGUUAGACUUAGGGUUUCUAUUCAAACAAUCAAGAUUAUAGAGAUAUAGAUUACUAAGCAUAUAUGGAUAUUCUAGAACUCAAACAAUAAGAAAAGUCAAUCAACUUUCGUAUAUUUAGACUAUCUAUCGCCAGAUCUAGGAUCUCAGCUGUCGCUUUGUGUCGACCGAUUCCAACAAUGGGGUGUCGAUCGAUACACCUUUCAGCCCGUCGAUCAAUGCAACUAGCGAGUUGUCGAUCGAUGAACCUUCCAGGGAGCGUUAUCGCAAGGGUUUGACGUGUUCACUAGGUUAAACUAAAUCAGCUUCCACUUGUUUCUAGCAAUCAUAGCACAAUGUAAACUAAUCAGACAUAGAACCAAACUUCUGCUUGCGCCGUACUAUCUAAAGGCAAGGUCCUAGUUAGCUACUCUAGAACACAUGUAUUAAGAACAGUUUAGUUGAUUAAUAUUCCUAACACUUAGCAAUUCUAUAUUUUGGGCUAAUCCCUUUUGAAUAUCUAAACCCUAAAUCUAACAAGAAGAACUACUCAUGCAUAGCUAAGGAAUUCAUAACAAAGAGAUAUGAAAACUGCAUAAAAUAGAAUAGAGUAGACAAAUUUGAGUUCCAAUCACAAAUCUCUGAAAGAGUUAUUGGAUCUUCUCUCAAAACCUAAAACUCUAAGUAUUUUGCUGUAUGAAAGUAAGAAAUCGUGUGUUGCCUAGAACAAUGGCAGAGCACAUAUAUAUUAGGUUAAACUCACCAGGGGUAAUAUGAUAAUUUUUGUGGGACUUGGGCUUAAAGUCGGCUGGAACCAUUAUGGCCUCUGACCGCUUCACCGUCGAUCGACAACAUGGAGUGUGUGUCGAUUGAUUAUUGCCUUCUCCCAUCGAUCGAUAGUCAUGGUCAAUGGUCAGCUAUGUAUCUUUAUCAUUUUAUCUCCAAAAUGCACCAAAAUCACAAUUUUUCUCCAAAUCACUCCAAAACCUGAAAACAUAUUAAAAAGACUCCAAAACAAAUAUAAAAUAUUUAAAAACACCUAUAUACCAUAGCGAAAAAUGGGUAAAAUCUAUGGUAUAUUAAUAUUGAUUCCUCUAAAUAAUCCAUUCAGUAUAUUCCAGUUUCUGCUGCAGCUCCUCCAUUGUUUUGCUUAUCCAAGCAAUGUUGUUGUGGAGAAGAUAAAAGAAUGUCCAUCGUUUGGUGCAUCUUGUCGUACAUCUUAUCUUGGUCAAUCAUGCCUUUCUUUAUUAUCUCCAUGACCUCAUCUUUAGUGUAUAUGUCCUCUUCUGGCGAAGGUGUAAGUGUAUGAUGAACUCCAGGCAUAUGAAAACAUCCCUCUUACCGUGGUCUCUUGCCUCAUCACCAUUGCUCGUUGAAUGUGGUCCUCACCACCCAAGACCACCUCACUCCUGCUUCAGCGCUAUUGCUCAUCUCAUGUGGUCGUCAUUGUCUUGCCUCAUCGCUCAGGACUACCUUUCUUCUAUCUCAUUGCCUUGACUCAUUGCCGACACCAUCUGUCUUCUGCUUCUUCAAUCAUAAUUGUUGAAUAACAAAAAGGAAAAAACUCCUACUUUCUCUCUCAAAGAUUUGGAACUGAUAAAAAGGGAAAAGGAGAAAAAAAUAUAUCCCCGUAAAGAGAAGAGAGAAACAUGCAGCUGAAUUACAGCCAUAAUUUUGAUCAUGCUAUAUACAUUUUGAUAUCUUUGUAAUUUUACUGAAUUUUUAAGUUUUAAAUCAAAAUUUACAUCUCAACACAAUUUUUUUAAAUUAGUUUUUUUUAUUAAAACUAGAAAAGUAUUUACUAUGAGGUACACUGCGGAAUUAAAGUGAUUUCUCAUGGAUUAGCCAAAAAUACGGAAUUUGGAUAGAAAUAUAUAUAUAUUCAAAUACCAAUUUUAAGGAGGUUUGUCACUAAAAAUAGAUUAGUUUCAAGGUAUGAUAGAUUUAGCUUCUUAUAUAUAGACACAUACUACUCUUCUAAAUUUUCAGAAUCACACAUAUAGUUCUAAAAAAAAUAAAAUAACACAUUUACUACUCUAUAUUCUAAAGUUCGUAAAACACCUUCAUUCUAUUUCUACCUUUUAAGAUGAGCAAACAGCUUCAAGUCACAUUCAUCGUUUUAACUAUCUUCAUCGUUUUCGUUUUAGAAGUGGUGGGAGAUAGAGAUAGUGAUAGUCAGUUUGGCUGUGAGGAGAGACUGAAUAUGACUACUGAGGACACUUGUUCACGACUAGAGUGUCAAUUUCAGUGUACUUUGAAAAGAAAGGGGUGGGCCACUUGCUUUAAGGAUGCGGACGACCUUUACAAGGGGACCCCCGUUUACAAGUGUCUUUGUGCUUAUUUUUGUCCUAAAUAAUUUCAACAACAUUUAAGCCUUAUCUAUGAGCUUUAUAAUAGAGUAAGAAUCUUGUUGAUCCAAUAUCUAUCUUUAUAUAUAAAGUAUAGUUUCAUCCCUUCUCCUUGCGCCACGUCCUCUGCCACGUAGAUAAGUCGAAUUCUCCUAUGUCGACACGUGUCACUCGGAUUUUUAUCUCUCUGGGUUUUGGAUCAUCUUUAAUCUCGUCGUUUAGUCUUCUGUGCUGAUUAACCGAAACGUUUCGAGCAGAUUAAUUCCCUUUAUCUCCUUCUUAACUCCAUCAACCACAAUCCUACAUUCAAUUCAUCUUUCUCUUCUGCAAGGCGGUUAGUCUUCUACUCUGGAAAUUCAUUCUCUCAAUCCGUGAAAACAAUGGAGUUUUAUCUGAUUAUCGAGAUGAUUAUCUAAACCAACAAUGGAGUUUCGUGAGGGUUAUGUGAGACGAAUCUUCACGAUGAAUCUCUGGAUCUAAACACGUUUUUAAUCUACAAUCAGAUCGAGUUCAGACAUAGAUACAAGCUCCAGUAAGAGAAAGUUGAUCCCACACGGUAAUGGCAACGAGUCUACGGCUUCGUCGUCUACAAAUUCCAAAUCAAAGGUUUUUAUUUCAAAAAAUCAAAGGUUUCAGGAGAUUACAUUCAAGUUAGAGCUAGAAGGGGUCAGGCAAGCAACAGAUAGCCACAGCCUCGCUGAAAGAGCAAUAGGAGAAAAUAUCAGCGAGAUGAUGACUUUACUUCAAGAUCUGGUUCUUGGUGGCAAUCGGAUAACAGGGAAGCAAUUAUGCUUAAUAUGUGCAGUCCUUGCAGAGACAAGACGAUUUCUUCUUCAAUGCUUUGUUUCGAUCUGCAAGGCGGUGUUUUUUGUGUAUAAAUAUAUGAGUGUGUGUGAGAGCAUAGAUAGUGUCAUAGUGAGAGAGGAGAGAAUGAAUGGUGGUGAUGAGGUCGGAGCUUCAUCGUUUUAGAUUGGAGAUUCUCUCAGGUAUUUGGUGAGGGCAGUGUUGGCGAAGAAUUUCAAGAAGGUCCAAAAGAAGCACAAAUAUGAUUCUGUGAAACCGAAGAGACCAUAAAAAGAAAGGAUGAGGAAGAUAGAAAGAAGACAUGGAGAAAUCAAAGAAAUAACUUUUUAUGAAAGUCUAUAGUGGAUGGAGUUAUGUCAGAUGAUGUUGCUUGGUUAUUGAAUCGUAGUCACGACUACUCAUUUGUGGGCUUACAUGGCUUAUCCCAGCCGAGAAUAUAUGAUAAGCUUUGUUAGACGAUUCUGGUCCAUCCCAAAAAGUAUGGAGAGUGAGAUAGUAGUUGAAGCUUUUAAGAACUGCAGAACCCAUAUGAUGUAAUGAUUGUGGUUCAUCAUUUGUAUUGGUGCAUCAAGAACCUCCAUCUCUGAUCUCCCUAGCUGUUUUCUAUUGGUUAAGUCUUGCUAUAUGUUUGGUCUUUUUCAUUUACAAGAGAAUAGUUGAGUUUGAGAGUUGAUGCUUUUGAUGAUUGCACUUAAAAUGACUUAAAGCCACUGAUUAUUGCUGACAAGGAAUUUGAACUGGGGGAGGAAGACUAAGAAGUGAUGCAACUCCUUAUGUGAGAUGCCUGCCAAUCCAGAACCAACAUGGAGGUUUUGUGAGAGGUGGUUAAGGCAGAGGCCAAGCUGAUGGUGGCAAAGGGAAUAAAGAUGGCCCACAAAUUGUGCCUAACAGUUGGAUUGAAAAAUGGAAAAAGCUCUACCAUGGUAUUAGGAAGAAUGUGUAGACAACAAUAGCUGAAGGAUUGUUGCAGUUGUGGAUUAUCAGAUGAACACACUCCUAUCUUUCUAGGAGCAGUCAGAGCUAAAGCCUUUGUUGCUCAGAUUUGCAGUGAUCUUUUUCAUAAUCAGUGGCUACAUGAGAGUGUUUCUGCUGAGUUAGGAUUUAGAGUCUGCAACAAAUGUACGAUAGGUUAAGGCUAUUUUAUUAUGCGGGGAAGAUGAGAAUAAUUCCAUCUCCAUCAGUAGCUUAACUCGCUUAACAUUCAAGAUUGUGGUUAGAGUUGUUUAUCAUCAAAAACCAAAACCCAAGUAGAAACAUGUUCCAAAAGUGAUUUACAAAAUCUUCUUUCUAUUAGUUACUAAUACAUGAAUAUGUUUUUUUAAUUGAUAUAAAAUGGUUAUUGUUAUGUUUGUGGUAAA